UCCGGUUUUGCAGUGGNUACGGGCUAACUAGAGUGCAGUAGGGGAGACUGGAAUUCNUGGUGUAGCGGUGGAAUGCACAGAUAUCAGGAGGAACACCGAUGGCGAAGGCAGGUNUCUGGGCUGUAACUGACGCUGAGAAGCGAAAGCAUGGGGAGCGAACAGGAUUAGAUACCCUGGUAGUCCAUGCCGUAAACGUUGGGCACUAGGUGUGGGGGACAUUCCACGUUUUCCGCGCCGUAGCUAACGCAUUAAGUGCCCCGCCUGGGGAGUACGGCCGCAAGGCUAAAACUCAAAGGAAUUGACGGGGGCCCGCACAAGCGGCGGAGCAUGCGGAUUAAUUCGAUGCAACGCGAAGAACCUUACCAAGGCUUGACAUGCAUUAGAUCGCGUCAGAGAUGGCGUUUCCCUUCGGGGCUGGUGUACAGGUGGUGCAUGGUUGUCGUCAGCUCGUGUCGUGAGAUGUUGGGUUAAGUCCCGCAACGAGCGCAACCCUCGUUCUAUGUUGCCAGCGGUUCGGCCGGGGACUCAUAGGAGACUGCCGGGGUCAACUCGGAGGAAGGUGGGGAUGACGUCAAAUCAUCAUGCCCCUUAUGUCUUGGGCUUCACGCAUGCUACAAUGGCCGGUACAGAGGGUUGCGAUACUGUGAGGUGGAGCUAAUCCCUUAAAGCCGGUCUCAGUUCGGAUUGGGGUCUGCAACUCGACCCCAUGAAGUCGGAGUCGCUAGUAAUCGCAGAUCAGCAACGCUGCGGUGAAUACGUUCCCGGGCCUUGUACACACCGCCCGUCAAGUCACGAAAGUUGGUAACACCCGAA
Molecule: ribosomal RNA, 813 nt
Filed under: uncultured bacterium
Lineage: Bacteria
Description: bacterial SSU rRNA
Rfam family: Bacterial small subunit ribosomal RNA
Source: RNAcentral